CAAUGCCUGAACUUUCUUAUGCAUUUGUGUCACCAGUAAUCUCCACAAGAACAAAUUCCAUCCUUAAAAUGAUGAAAACGAUUUGUAUCCCGGAUAACUAUCUCCCUAUUUACAAGCUUUGAUAUAAACUUGGUUGCUGCAUGGCAGUUUACGCAUGCUCGAAGAUUCUUCGUUAUCCUAAGUUUAGUUCCUGGAGGAGUACUGAUAAGCCCAUAAGCAAUUGCUAGCCUUUCACUAUGAUUACAAAGUGUUUCUUCAAUUUCUUCAUCAUUCAAAUCAUGCAGAACAGAUUCUUUAUGCGGAGAAAAUCCAGCUUCUUUUAACUUUCUUUCUAAAUUCUGAAGCUCCUCAAAAAUCUCAUUGGAUCUUGGAUGUGAUCUAUCUCCAAAUUGAAACGCCUGAAGC
RNAcentral lists this unclassified non-coding RNA (405 nucleotides) under Hevea brasiliensis (rubber tree). Lineage: Eukaryota; Viridiplantae; Streptophyta; Magnoliopsida; Malpighiales; Euphorbiaceae. The record is from RNAcentral.